GGGUCUGUGGCUCAGCCAGGCAGAAUUUAUGCCUAUAGUGAUUAAGUCGUGGGUUCAAAUCCCACCAGACCCG
This 73-nucleotide transfer RNA is filed under the name Nitrososphaerota archaeon. RNAcentral describes it as "Thaumarchaeota archaeon tRNA-Tyr". It matches the Rfam family "tRNA". Rfam says of the family: Transfer RNA (tRNA) molecules are approximately 80 nucleotides in length. The record is from RNAcentral. Lineage: Archaea; Thermoproteati; Nitrososphaerota.